GAUGAACGCUGGCGGCGUGCCUAAUACAUGCAAGUCGAGCGAACAGAUGAGGAGCUUGCUCCUCUGACGUUAGCGGCGGACGGGUGAGUAACACGUGGAUAACCUACCUAUAAGACUGGGAUAACUUCGGGAAACCGGAGCUAAUACCGGAUAAUAUAUUGAACCGCAUGGUUCAAUAGUGAAAGACGGUUUUGCUGUCACUUAUAGAUGGAUCCGCGCCGCAUUAGCUAGUUGGUAAGGUAACGGCUUACCAAGGCAAAGAUGCGUAGCCGACCUGAGAGGGAGAUCGGCCACACUGGAAGUGAGACACGGUCCAGACUCCUACGGGAGGCAGCAGUAGGGAAUCUUCCGCAAUGGGGGAAAGGCUGACGGAGCAACGCCGCGUGAGUGAUGAAGGUCUUCGGAUCGUAAAACUCUGUUAGUAGGGAAAAACAAAUGUUUAAUUAACUAUGCACGUCUUGACGGUACCUAAACAAAAAGCCACGGCUAACUACGUG
This 497-nucleotide ribosomal RNA is filed under the name uncultured bacterium. RNAcentral's name for it is "partial 16S ribosomal RNA". It matches the Rfam family "Bacterial small subunit ribosomal RNA", at positions 28 to 507 of the family's 1533-position model. The record is from RNAcentral.